RNAcentral lists this ribosomal RNA (303 nucleotides) under uncultured bacterium. RNAcentral's name for it is "partial 16S ribosomal RNA". It matches the Rfam family "Bacterial small subunit ribosomal RNA", at positions 507 to 807 of the family's 1533-position model. The record is from RNAcentral.
AGCAGUCGCCGCGGUAAUACGUAGGUGGCAAGCGUUGUCCGGAAUUAUUGGGCGUAAAGCGCGCGCAGGUGGUUUAAUAAGUCUGAUGUGAAAGCCCACGGCUCAACCGUGGAGGGUCAUUGGAAACUGUUAAACUUGAGUGCAGGAGAGAAAAGUGGAAUUCCUAGUGUAGCGGUGAAAUGCGUAGAGAUUAGGAGGAACACCAGUGGCGAAGGCGGCUUUUUGGCCUGUAACUGACACUGAGGCGCGAAAGCGUGGGGAGCAAACAGGAUUAGAUACCCGAGUAGUCCCUGUCUCUUAUAC